RNAcentral lists this long non-coding RNA (5181 nucleotides) under Sus scrofa (pig). RNAcentral's name for it is "lncRNA (ENSSSCG00000060178.1)". Lineage: Eukaryota; Metazoa; Chordata; Mammalia; Artiodactyla; Suidae. The record is from RNAcentral.
AAAAAGAAAUUUGUACUCAUAAAUUAUCUCCCUAGAGGCGUAAGACAUAAACUACUUAGAUUAGUUUAGAUUAAGAAAAUUAUAUUUUUAUUUCCUCUUGAUGACCAAACAUAGAACAUGCCCUCAGCAUCUUCUAGCAUUGCUCCAGCAUGUGUUUAUUGCCACACAAAUGGGAAAGAAAUGGCCAGUCUGCAAGGUGUAAGAGGCCCAUUCAUUCUUAAAGUCAUUCCGUGUUCUCUUCUCCCUGUAAGGCUGCGAGCACCUGCCAAUUGUGAUGUGUUUUAUGAUACAGACGAGGGAGCUAGACAAGGAUCACCAAUUAAUUUCCUUCCCAACAAAUGACAAAACAUAUCGUGGAGCUGAAUCACUUAAACUAGUGACCACUGGGUCUUGGCUUCUACCCCAAAGGCGAGUGACAGUUUCUCCUUUUUGACAGCUACUUUAUACUGAGAAUGAGCUCAGCAGUUCCUGCCCCCGUGGCCACAGCUUUCCGAGGCAGGCCUCUCAGUAGAAUGUUCCAUGGCGGGGUUUGGAAAAGACGGUAGAGUUCUUCCCAUCCAGGUCUUCCAAUUUAUAGACAAGCUAAGAGAGACUCAUACAACCUAUAUGACUUAUACAAAAUCACCCUACUUCAAAGAAAUGUGACUCGCGCAUUUAUCCAGUUCUUACAGUCAGGGACACCUUUCUUAUUUACCUUACCCAGCGCCUUCACAGUUUAAGGAUAAGUCUAUUUUUGGCCAAAUUAUGAAACUAGUUUGUAAAUAUGUGGUGUGGCUUAUUUACAACCAGCUUAACUAAAAAUUUUAAUUGAAUAAAUAAAUAAAUUGAAUAUCUUAAAAGUCAAAGAAGGAGCAGGUACUAAUUGCAUUAACGAACACUUGAGUGCUUAUAGUGUGCAAGGCUAUAGGCUAAGUUCUCAGGAGGCUAAUGGGAAAAAUGCAAAGAAAUUCAAGGUAACCUCCAGCAUCAGCCAUGUACCACUGCCAAAAUAAAACAAAGAUGAACCUGAGAAGGUCAAGACCACAAUUUAUCACAUUUAAGGAUCUUGUGGGAUGACCAGGCAGUUCCUCUGAUGUCGACUGGACCCUGUGGCUGCAGUAGGCUGGCGGCUUGGCCAGUGCUGGGCUGAUAGCCCAGGGCUCCUAAGUGGGAAGGUUGACAUGAUGGAGACGGGUGGCCCUCUUUCCACUUGGUCUUUCAUCCUGGGCUUCUUCACCUGAUGGCAGAGAAUUUCAAAAAAGCAAGAGAAAAAGCAAAAGCAAAAUCUGCAAGCCUCCUUGAGACUCCCACAGCAUCAACCCUACCAUGCUCUUCUGGACAACAGUAGACAAAGGUUAACUCAGAUGUAGGUGAUGAAGAUUUCUCUAUCUCUGUGUAGGGAAAGCUGUGAAGCGUUGGUGACAUUUUUAAUCUAUCGUUUCCCACUGUCUCAGGAACUUAGAAUCCAGUUGCAGAAAUCAUAAAUAUAAAUAGCAUUAUUUUACUGGUAGUGAAACAGAAACACCUCCAACUUGAACCCAGCCAAAACCAAGAUUGGGACUUGAACUCUUUUUUCCCACUUUUUAAAAAACUAGAUUCACUCACCUGGUGUCUGGACUUACUGAGGUUCAGGGGUUUUUUGUGUCUCAGUGCAGAAGGAAUUCAGCAAGAGACAAAGAGAUAGGCAAGAAAUAGAUUUAUUAAGGGAGGACGCUUGUGAGAGAUGAAAGCAGGCAGGCCAGCAGGCUCUGCCACUCGGAUUAGUUGGGCUACAUUUUUUAUGAGCCAAGGAAACUGGGGAGGGGGAAAAGACCACCUUUUCCUUGUUCUUCAAGUAGACAUCAGGCUUACAUCACCAGUUCCUCCUUCGUUUUGGGUAAGAGAAUAUUUGACCAUAUGAGGUCAAACUAGGACUGUCAUGAUGCUUUUUUUUAAAUCAGCAGAAGUGUGGUAACAUAUGCUAAAGCACAUUGAAUCAUCUCAGGUUUCCAUAUAAUGAGGGUCUCCUGCUUUGGUAUGUCAUCCUUCCCUUAAAUUCCUGUCCUUCGUCCUGAGGAUCAUUCUUUUGCUGAACUUGAAUGCCAGUCUCAUUUUUAGCUUUCGGUUACUGACCUGAGGCUUAUCUCAUGCUUUUAUUUAUGGUUUUUUAGCUAAGCAAGCCUGCUUCAUCCCAUGAUAUUUUGAUGGCUUUCUUGAGUGAUUAUUAGCUUUGUGGUCUCCCAAAGUUCCCUAGGUUUCCCUUUCCAUCUGUGGCUCCCUACUGGGACUUCUACAACUCUCUCUAACUGUCCUACUCUAUCCCUAUCCAUAGGUACCAAGCCUGUUUAUAAUCCUUUUAUAUGUGUCAUCUAACUUAGUAUUCAUUAUAAUCCUAUGAAUUAUUGAAUGAUGAUAGGUUUUAUUAAUAGACAUGAUGAAACGUCAGCACAUAAAAGGUUAAGUAACUUGCCAGAGGACAAGAAAUUUGAGGGUAUUGAAGCAGAAUGCAAGCCCAAACAGUCAAAUCUAAAUCUGGGAGUUCCCUUCGUGGCUCAGGGGUUAACAUAUCUGACUAGGAACCAUGAGGUUGCGAGUUUGAUCCCUGGCCUCUUUCAGUGGGUUAAGGAUCUGGCAUUGCUGUGAGCUGUAGUGUAGGCCGCAGACACGGCUCAGAUCUGGCAUUGCUGUGGCUGUGGCAUAGGCCAGCAGCAACAGCUCCAAUUCAACCCGUAGCCUGGGAACCUCCAUAUGCCAUGGGUGUGGCCCUAAAAAGGCAAAAAAGAAAAUCUAAAUCUGCCUCUCAAACAACACACUUUGUGAAAUACACAGUAAGGAUGUUGUAAUAAUUUUCUAUUGCUAACAUCACACAUUGCCACAAACAUAUUGGCUUAAAGCGAUAGGAAUUUAUUAUCUCACAGUAUAGAUAGGCAACAGUAUAGAUAUGCUCCAGGUUUCACAAAGUCAAAAUCAAAGCUGGGCUGUUUGGAAAGUUCUGGAAAAAAUCUACUUCCUAGUUCAUCUGGGUUUUUGGGGGAAUUCAGUUUCUUGUGGUUGAAGGAUUGACAUUCUCUUGCUGUCUGUCAGCUGGGAGCCACAUAGCACCUAGAAGCCUCUCUCCAGUCCUUCCAUGGGGGACCCUAUAUCUCAAAGCCAGCAACAGUGCAUCAAAUCCUUCUCACACUUAGAACCUCUAACUUUUACUUCUGCCACCUCCCACCCGCCUCCUCUUAUGCCCCAUCUCUCUCACUGCAGCCAGAGAAAGUUCUCUGCUCCUAAGGGCUCAUGUGAUGAGACUGAGACCACUUGGAGGAUGCAGGAUACCCUCCCGAUUUUAAGGUCUGUACUUUUAAUUACACCAGGCAAGUUCUUAUUGCCCUGUAAUGUAGCACAUCACCAGGGAUUAGGGCAUGGACCUCUUUGUAGGUUAUUCUGCCUGCAUGGAUGUUAAGUACUAUUAGAGUUCAGAGGAAAAUGAGAUCCUGAGGACUGGGAGGUUAGAUAGUGUUCAAGGAAUUGGCUUUUAAGAGAUGCAUGAGAGGUGCUCUUUGUGUUGAGGAGGAAGAAGUAAAUGCCCAUGGGGGAGGCUAUUCCAGUAAGUAACAAGAAUUGCACAAGUAAGGACACGCGGGAAAGUAUAAGGCAUUUGUGGUAAAUGAUAAUGACGAGAACAAUGGAUUCGUGGAAGCAAUUGGUGGGGAGAUGUGUUAGAAAACAGGUGAAGGUCAGCUGGUGGGGAACAAUUAAUGCCACAUAGAGGAAUCUGGGUUUCAUUCUGCAGGCAACAGGAAGUCAUAACAUUUUUUAGAAAGGAGUGAAAAAUAAAGUGGUCUUCUGCAAAAAUGGGAAAGAUAGGAUUGAGGAAGGCACGAAGAUGGUGGGUAAAUCAUAACCAUCCAAUUGUGCAAUAACUGUGGGUAGAAAGGAAGAGCAAUUGGUGAGAAAUCUCAGGAAGAAACGGCUGGACUCUGGAAUUAAUUGAAAAUUACAUGUGGAAGAGGAAACUGGAGUCUUAGAGAAAAGGGGGAGGUGGGUAGGACAGGAUGGAAUCUACUACAAAUAGGAAGCCAGAGUCAGGUUAACAUUAAAUGUGAUCCCAGUCUGAGAACAGCUCUGCCCUAACCGGGAGCAGUUUUGGUCAGCAUCCUGUUCAGCCUUCAUGUCCAACCAUCUUCCAGAUUAGGGUAAGAAAUGGACUCCCCACAAAGCAGGCACCUGCCCGAUUCCCCCUGACUUCAAAAGCCACAUCUCCAGGUACAGAAACGCAGAGACACUUUCUCCCCUGAAAAGUUCAUUUUAAUAUUUUGAGUUAUUUUCCAAACAGUGGUUUAAUUAGUAUUUUUAAUUUCCGUGCUUAAUGAAAAAUUUACAGCUCCAUGGUUGCUUCUGAGGAUUCUAUGUAUUUGUGAGAAAGAUUUUUUUUCUUUCUUCCUGUUUUUUUAAUGUGAGAUUCUUUUUUAGACUCAAAAUCUUCUGAACGUUAAUCUUUAGGGGCAUCUCUGCAUCUCAGAAUUGAUGUAUAUAAUAAUAAUAAAAAAUAUCCCCACUGUACUAGAGGAUGGAUUAAGAGAUCACUCUUGAAGGCAUUUCUUAAUAAACAUUCUUUGGCAGGCCUGAGAUUUACAGGGGCCAUCAUCAGAGCAGCCAUGUAAAUGGGGACAUAUUGACAACUUUCCCCCUUAAAGGCAGAGCAAAAAGGAUUUAUAUGCUUCAACCACAGCUCUCUUGGGAACUCAACAAGGGACUUAUUUUGUUUCUCUUUUAAUAGCUCCUCUUGGGUACUUUAUGGACCAGUUCUCUCAUCUCAAGUGGCUGAUCCCAAGACAUAAAUUAAUUUUAGAUGUACCUUUUAUCCACCUUGUCUGCUAAAGCAAUAUUCACUAUUUGUUUUAGUUGCCAUGGAGAUAAUUGACUUCCUGCUGUGGCAGGAGUCUUGUUUGGGGGUGUUAAAGGGGUUUGGGUCCAAGGUUUCUUUAAUUUCCACACAGUGAGUAAAGCUAUUUCAUCAAUGGAAUAUUUGUAUACAUCACCCACUUAUAACUGGAGUGUUUUGUUUUGUUUUUUUUAAUCACCGUGUGAAAUUUCCCUUUUUAUUUUCCAUCACUUCCUUUUUUAAGGUUUAACCUCUGCUCUCCAAGGUGCUGACUAAAACCACAGCUAAGGGCAAACAGUCCAUUUAUUACUUUUUGUAAGAUGGUUAGACACAGCCUCCCAGCACAAUAUUAU